AACUUUCGGCAACGGAUCACUUGGCUUUCGCAUCGAUGAAGAACGCAGCGAAAUGUGAUAAGUAAUGUAAAUUGCAGAAUUCAGUGAAUCAUCGAAUCUUUGAACGCACCUUGCGCUCUCUGGUAUUCCGGAGAGCAUGCCUGUUUGAGUGUCAUGAACUCUUCAACCCACCGGUUCCUUGUUGGACCGAGUUGGUGUUUGGAUUUUGAGUGCUGCUUUUGAUUAAGCUCUCUCGUAAUACAUUAGCAUCUCAAUUUCGUAAUCGGAUUGACUCAGCGUAAUAGACUAUUCGCUGAGGACACUUUUUACUAAGUGGCCGAGAAUGAAAAAGUUAGAAGCUUCCAACCCUUCUAGUCAUUUUUAGAUUAGACCUCAGAUCAGGCAGGAUUACCCGCUGAACUUAAGCAUAUCAAUAAGCGGAGGCU
Molecule: unclassified non-coding RNA, 425 nt
Filed under: uncultured Sporobolomyces
Lineage: Eukaryota; Fungi; Basidiomycota
Description: sequence contains ITS2
Rfam family: 5.8S ribosomal RNA (bases 1-154)
Source: RNAcentral